Molecule: ribosomal RNA, 484 nt
Filed under: uncultured bacterium
Lineage: Bacteria
Description: partial 16S ribosomal RNA
Rfam family: Bacterial small subunit ribosomal RNA
Source: RNAcentral
GAUUAACGCUAGCGGCAGGCAUAAUACAUGCCAGUUGAACGGCAGCACAGGUAGCAAUACUGGGUGGCGAGCGGCGCACGGGUGCGUAACACGUAUGCAACCUACCCUAUACAGGCGAAUAACCUUUAGAAAUGAGGGCUAAUACGCCGUAGUAUUACAGAUGGGCAUCUAUUUGUAAUUAAAGAUUUAUCGGUAUAGGAUGGGCAUGCGUCCCAUUAGUUAGUUGGUAAGGUAACGGCUUACCAAGACGAUGAUGGGUAGGGGAUCUGAGAGGACUUACCCCCACACUGGUACUGAGACACGGACCAGACUCCUACGGGAGGCAGCAGUAAGGAAUAUUGGGCAAUGGCCGCGAGGCUGACCCAGCCAUGCCGCGUGCAGGAAGACGGCCUUAUGGGUUGUAAACUGCUUUUAUACGGGAAUAAUAGAGUGUACGCGUACAUUUAUGUAAGUAUCGUAUGAAUAAGCAUCGGCUAACUCCGUG